AGCCGGGGCCACACGGGAGUCACUGACCACAGCCAGGCGAGAGCCGGCUUUCCGGUGCCGCCACAUUCCGGGCACCAGGCUCCGGGCUCUUCAGAGCAUUUGGGGCGGGCGACGGAGGUCCCGUCCACUCUCGCUUGGGUGCAGAAGGGCGCGGCGGUGCCAGGAAGCCGCCUUGGAGGCUCCAAGAUUAGCUCAAACUCAGCGCGGCCAAGCGCAGGUGCGGGGGCCCUCGCCGCCGCCCUGCUUAUCUGGGGACAGUCCCGGAACCCGGGGACCCGGCUCCGCCCCAACCCGCGCCCUCGUCCACCCGCAGCAGCCAGGCCUCUUCCCCGGCCCCGGGAGCCCGCGCCGCGCCCGUCGCUCGCGCGUUCCAGUCCAGGCUACGAGCAGGUGGUGCCUCGGUGCACAAUGCCAUGCAGCUGAAGCCGGGCAAACCCAAUGGCUGGAGGAUUCCCUUCAACAGCCAUGAGGGCGGCUGUGGGGCUGCCAUGCGGGCCAUGUGCAUUGGUCUCAGGUUCCCACACCAUAGCCAACUGGACACACUGAUCCAAGUGAGCAUCGAGAGUGGUCGGAUGACCCACCACCACCCAACAGGCUACCUGGGGGCCCUUGCGUCUGCUCUUUUUACAGCCUAUGCUGUGAAUACCAGACCACCUUUGCAGUGGGGAAAAGGACUGAUGGAGCUGCUACCAGAAGCUAAAAAGUACAUUGUCCAAUCAGGCUACUUUGUAGAGGAAAAUCUUCAACACUGGUCCUACUUCCAAACCAAAUGGGAAAAUUACCUAAAACUUAGAGGGAUUUUGGAUGGAGAAUCAGCCCCUACCUUCCCUGAGUCUUUCGGUGUGAAGGAGAGGGAUCAGUUCUACACCUCCCUGAGCUACUCUGGCUGGGGUGGCAGCAGUGGGCACGAUGCCCCCAUGAUUGCCUAUGAUGCUGUUCUUGCUGCAGGAGACUCCUGGAAGGAGCUUGCCCACCGAGCCUUUUUCCAUGGUGGAGACAGUGAUUCUACAGCUGCCAUUGCUGGCUGCUGGUGGGGAGUUAUGUAUGGUUUUAAAGGAGUGAGUCCCUCCAACUAUGAGAAACUAGAAUACAGAAACCGGCUGGAAGAGACAGCUAGGGCCUUAUAUUCUCUCGGGUCAAAAGAAGACACUGUAAUUUCCCUUUAGGGAGAUGUGAUGUUCACUUCUGAUGGAUUCUUCUUUUGUGUAUUUCCUUUUCUGCUAUUUCUUUUCAGUUUUUCCAAAGUCAAGAGUCUUAACCUUGUACUCAGGGAAUUUUGAGAUAACAAGUCCCUUGGGCACCUUAAGCUCAGUUUUUUCAGGCUCAUCCUGUUCUUCCAGAAUCUAUCCCUUUUCUUACACUGAAGAGUCUUUUAUCUCAAUUGAUAGGGUCAGCGUCUCGCAAGCAAAAAAUCUCAUGACCUCAUAUUUGAGUCUUCAUUUUCAUCAUCUACUUGUUCUAAAAGUUUUUUCUGUUUGUCUCAAGUUGGGUUCCCACAAAG
RNAcentral lists this small RNA (1501 nucleotides) under Pan troglodytes (chimpanzee). RNAcentral's name for it is "processed transcript". The record is from RNAcentral. Lineage: Eukaryota; Metazoa; Chordata; Mammalia; Primates; Hominidae.